RNAcentral lists this ribosomal RNA (272 nucleotides) under uncultured bacterium. RNAcentral's name for it is "partial 16S ribosomal RNA". It matches the Rfam family "Bacterial small subunit ribosomal RNA", at positions 524 to 776 of the family's 1533-position model. The record is from RNAcentral.
UACGUAGGAGGCAAGCGUUGUCCGGAAUUACUGGGUGUAAAGCGCGUGUAGGUGGGAGGCCAAGUCUGUGGUGAAAUCGCCCGGCUCAACUGGGCGCAGUCCAUGGAAACUGGUCACCUGGAGGACGGUAGAGGCGAGUGGAAUUCCCGGUGUAGUGGUGAAAUGCGUAGAGAUCCGGAAGAACACCGGUGGCGAAGGCGGCCCGCUGGGCAGGAAGACACCGCAAGGUGUCGGCUGACGCUGAGGCGCGACAGCGUGGGGGAGCAAACAGG